GCUGUGUGACAUGCGGACAGGCUAUUUAACU
This 31-nucleotide non-coding RNA is filed under the name Rattus norvegicus (Norway rat). Lineage: Eukaryota; Metazoa; Chordata; Mammalia; Rodentia; Muridae. The record is from RNAcentral.